CGCAGGCGUAGGAAAUUUGAGAAGACCUGUCCUUAGUACGAGAGGACCGGGAUGGACGUACCUCUGGGGUACCAGUUGUUCUGCCAAGGGCAUGGCUGGGUAGCUAUGUACGGAAUGGAUAAGCGCUGAAAGCAUCUAAGCGCGAAGCCAACUUCAAGAUAAGAUUUCCCACCGCAAGGGUAAGACCCCAGAAAGACUAUCUGGUUGAUAGGUCGAAGGUGUAAGUGCAGCAAUGUAUUUAGCUUAUCGAUACUAAUAGGUCGAGGACUUGACCAAU
This 277-nucleotide ribosomal RNA is filed under the name Clostridioides difficile. RNAcentral describes it as "partial 23S ribosomal RNA". It matches the Rfam family "Bacterial large subunit ribosomal RNA", at positions 2646 to 2925 of the family's 2925-position model. Lineage: Bacteria; Bacillati; Bacillota; Clostridia; Peptostreptococcales; Peptostreptococcaceae. The record is from RNAcentral.